Odocoileus virginianus texanus is the source of this 267-nucleotide long non-coding RNA. RefSeq lists it as uncharacterized. The record is from RefSeq and is a predicted model, not a curated record. Lineage: Eukaryota; Metazoa; Chordata; Mammalia; Artiodactyla; Cervidae.
GCACGGGAACUCGCAGCGGUCGCCCCAGCGGUCGGGUUGGCAGUGGCAUACGCCGGUGGCCGGUUCGCACUGGCCAUGCGGGUGGCAGUUAACCGGGAUCUCCAGCGUCUUUCAGGAAGUUGAAAGGGAAGAUGAACAGCCCAGAACUGAACCCGUGGGAGGACUUUGAAGAUGGGGUAGAAACCAGACGACUCAGGGCAUCCCCGGGAGUGCGUCACUUCCUGUCUCCAGACCUCAGUUUCCUCAGCAAAGCUUGGAAGGACUCUG